RNAcentral lists this ribosomal RNA (253 nucleotides) under uncultured bacterium. RNAcentral describes it as "partial 16S ribosomal RNA". It matches the Rfam family "Bacterial small subunit ribosomal RNA", at positions 524 to 776 of the family's 1533-position model. The record is from RNAcentral.
UACGGGGGGGGCAAGCGUUGUUCGGAAUUACUGGGCGUAAAGGGCUCGUAGGCGGCCAACUAAGUCCGACGUGAAAUCCCCAGGCUUAACCUGGGAACUGCGUCGGAUACUGGAUGGCUUGAAUCCGGGAGAGGGAUGCGGAAUUCCUGGUGUAGCGGUGAAAUGCGUAGAUAUCAGGAGGAACACCUGCGGUGUAGACGGCUUUCUGGACCAUUGCUGACGCUGAGACACGAAAGCGUGGGUAGCAAACAGG